AUCAAAGGUGAGCCAGUACAGGAUGGACCCGCGUCUGAUUAGCUAGUUGGUAAGGUAACGGCUUACCAAGGCGACGAUCAGUAGCCGACCUGAGAGGGUGAUCGGCCACAUUGGAACUGAGACACGGUCCAAACUCCUACGGGAGGCAGCAGUGGGGAAUAUUGCACAAUGGGCGAAAGCCUGAUGCAGCAACGCCGCGUGAGUGAUGAAGGCCGUCGGGUCGUAAAACUCUGUCCUCAAGGAAGAUAAUGACGGUACUUGAGGAGGAAGCCCCGGCUAACUACGUGCCAGCAGCCGCGGGAAUACGUAGGGGGCUAGCGUUAUCCGGAUUUACUGGGCGUAAAGGGUGCGUAGGCGGUCUUUCAAGUCAGGAGUGAAAGGCUACGGCUCAACCGUAGUAAGCUCUUGAAACUGGGAGACUUGAGUGCAGGAGAGGAGAGUGGAAUUCCUAGUGUAGCGGUGAAAUGCGUAGAUAUUAGGAGGAACACCAGUUGCGAAGGCGGCUCUCUGGACUGUAACUGACGCUGAGGCACGAAAGCGUGGGGAGCAAACAGGAUUAGAUACCCUGGUAGUCCACGCUGUAAACGAUGAGUACUAGGUGUCGGGGGUUACCCCC
RNAcentral lists this ribosomal RNA (616 nucleotides) under Clostridioides difficile. Its description in RNAcentral is "bacterial SSU rRNA". It matches the Rfam family "Bacterial small subunit ribosomal RNA", at positions 200 to 841 of the family's 1533-position model. The record is from RNAcentral. Lineage: Bacteria; Bacillati; Bacillota; Clostridia; Peptostreptococcales; Peptostreptococcaceae.